AGUUUGAUCCUGGCUCAGGGUGAACGCUGGCGGUAGGCCUAACACAUGCAAGUCGAACGGCAGCACAGAGGAGCUUGCUCCUUGGGUGGCGAGUGGCGGACGGGUGAGGAAUACAUCGGAAUCUACUCUGUCGUGGGGGAUAACGUAGGGAAACUUACGCUAAUACCGCAUACGACCUACGGGUGAAAGCAGGGGAUCUUCGGACCUUGCGCGAUUGAAUGAGCCGAUGUCGGAUUAGCUAGUUGGCGGGGUAAAGGCCCACCAAGGCGACGAUCCGUAGCUGGUCUGAGAGGAUGAUCAGCCACACUGGAACUGAGACACGGUCCAGACUCCUACGGGAGGCAGCAGUGGGGAAUAUUGGACAAUGGGCGCAAGCCUGAUCCAGCCAUACCGCGUGGGUGAAGAAGGCCUUCGGGUUGUAAAGCCCUUUUGUUGGGAAAGAAAUCCAGCCGGCUAAUACCUGGUUGGGAUGACGGUACCCAAAGAAUAAGCACCGGCUAACUUCGUGCCAGCAGCCGCGGUAA
RNAcentral lists this ribosomal RNA (524 nucleotides) under uncultured bacterium. Its description in RNAcentral is "bacterial SSU rRNA". It matches the Rfam family "Bacterial small subunit ribosomal RNA", at positions 10 to 523 of the family's 1533-position model. The record is from RNAcentral.